Molecule: ribosomal RNA, 542 nt
Filed under: uncultured bacterium
Lineage: Bacteria
Description: partial 16S ribosomal RNA
Rfam family: Bacterial small subunit ribosomal RNA
Source: RNAcentral
UGGGGAAUAUUGCACAAUGGGCGAAAGCCUGAUGCAGCAACGCCGCGUGAGUGAUGAAGGUCUUCGGAUUGUAAGCUCUGUCUUUUGGGACGAUAAUGACGGUACCAAAGGAGGAAGCCACGGCUAACUACGUGCCAGCAGCCGCGGUAAUACGUAGGUGGCGAGCGUUGUCCGGAUUUACUGGGCGUAAAGGGUGCGUAGGCGGAUGUUUAAGUGAGAUGUGAAAUACCCGGGCUUAACUUGGGUGCUGCAUUUCAAACUGGAUAUCUAGAGUGCAGGAGAGGAGAAUGGAAUUCCUAGUGUAGCGGUGAAAUGCGUAGAGAUUAGGAAGAACACCAGUGGCGAAGGCGAUUCUCUAGACUGUAACUGACGCUGAGGCACGAAAGCGUGGGUAGCAAACAGGAUUAGAUACCCUGGUAGUCCACGCCGUAAACGAUGAGUACUAGGUGUAGGAGGUAUCGACCCCUUCUGUGCCGCAGUAAACACAUUAAGUACUCCGCCUGGGAAGUACGAUCGCAAGAUUAAAACUCUAAAGUGAAUUG